GCAGGAUGUAUCGCUGUCAGCCUGACAUGUAGCAGUCUGCAGUCUUGUGACCCGCCAGAUUGGAAGGACGGAUACAUCAACACUCAACUCUUCUUUACUCUCCUGAAUUUAUCAUUUUACUUCACCUCUCGGAGUGUUGGCGAUGGUGGUGGCGGCAGUGACGGGCCCAGUGAUCCUGCCCAUCAAGCUCCUCAUGGAUGGUUUGAGCGGUUGAGGGGUGUUUUUAGAGGGAGCGGGACGGGGGAGCCAGCAGGAAGAAGAGGCGAGGGAUACGAGACGGACGGCACGGGCAGAGAGCACGAGUGUUGGCGAUGGUGGUGGCGGCAGUGACGGGCCCAGUGAUCCUGCCCAUCAAGCUCCUCAUGGAUGGUUUGGAGUGUUGGAGGCAGCGAUGUGCCCAAUGAUACUGCUCAUCAAACUCUUAAGUCUCUGCUUGUUUUGGUCAAUCUGCAAUAGUGAACGGUGUUUUUAUGGUGAAGAUGUGCAGCCCAACCACAGGCUAACAUAACCCACCCACAGUCUGUCACCGCUUAUCACAACCCACCAACAGCCAAUAAAAAUCCUAGCUGAGGGGUGACCAGCUGGCUGAGUCAAGUGGAGGCCUGCGAGGGGCCUUCGUCACAACCAAUCACAGAACGUUCGGCAUCGAUGUGACAUUUGGGGCGGUUCUGCCGCAGCAUGCUGCGGUGGUGGGCGGCAGCCACGCGGCACCGCGCGGCAAAACCACCCAGUGUGACACCUCCAAUUGGUUUGUGUGUGUUAUCGUAAAAGCGGCGAAACCGCUUGGCAAAACCACCUAGUGUGACACCGGCCUAAGGAUUAAUAGGAUAUUCGAUGGUCUGUAGGUGGAUGUAUACCAUGAGAAAAUCAUAGAAUCCUGCUCAAUCAACCUCCAUGGUUUGGUAUCAGUGAUGUCAUAAAUUUCUCUAAUUUGUAAUAAUACUGUUUAUCUUGUCUCAUAGUAAACACAUUUAGUAGAUAAUUUGUGGCGCCACAUUUGGUAGUCAAUAUUGCAACCUGCCAGAACAAAGUGUAAGCAUCAUCUGUAUGAGUUCUGAUACAUGUCUCACUGUCUCAGUCUGCACCAAGCUGAUAUCUGAUAUUAUUUUUAUAGUUUUAAUGUAUUUUUUUAGGUUUACAGAGUUUGACCUUUGUUGCAUCCAGAUUUGUCACACUUAACCUUUGCAGUAUAUCAUAAUUAAUAAUGCAUUUGAUUAUAGAUAAUUUUAACAUUAUUAAUAUAGAUAAUAAUAGUUACUGUUGAGAUUAGGUAAUUUUGUUAUAAUAUUUAAAAACUAGGAAUUAGAGUAUAUGGCAGGCUUGGAGCCUGGUGGUAGUGUAGUCCGUUCAAUAGGCGCACCUAACAUCAUCAAAUGUGGGGCACAAACUUGGCGGAGGGACUGUUUUUGUGCCGCCAUAGGCGAUAGUGAGCUAAAGAGUAGCCUAUCCGGAUUUUUUGUUUUUAAUUAUUAAUGAUCCACGAGACAUCUAGAGUUAAAUCUAACUAUGUGCUUUUCUUUGUAUUCAUUCAUACACACACUGGUAAUAUUUCUGUGGUGUUUGAUUCACUUAAUUGAAUGAAAUUCUAUUGUGAUAAACACUCACAAAUUCGUGCCACUAUAGUUUAUCGACUCAG
Eriocheir sinensis (Chinese mitten crab) is the source of this 1636-nucleotide long non-coding RNA. RefSeq lists it as uncharacterized. The record is from RefSeq and is a predicted model, not a curated record. The transcript is spliced from 9 exons. NCBI's taxonomy places the organism in Eukaryota, Metazoa, Arthropoda, Malacostraca, Decapoda, Varunidae.